RNAcentral lists this ribosomal RNA (253 nucleotides) under uncultured bacterium. Its description in RNAcentral is "partial 16S ribosomal RNA". It matches the Rfam family "Bacterial small subunit ribosomal RNA", at positions 524 to 776 of the family's 1533-position model. The record is from RNAcentral.
UACGGGGGGUGCAAGCGUUGUUCGGAAUUACUGGGCGUAAAGGGCUCGUAGGCGGCCAACUAAGUCGGAUGUGAAAUCCCCAGGCUCAACUUGGGAACUGCACCCGAUACUGGAAGGCUUGAGACCGGGAGAGGUGAGUGGAAUUCCCAGUGUAGCGGUGAAAUGCGUAGAUAUUGGGAGGAACACCAGUGGCGAAGGCGGCUCACUGGACCGGAACUGACGCUGAGGCGCGAAAGCGUGGGGAGCAAACAGG